Molecule: small nucleolar RNA, 97 nt
Organism: Bombina bombina (fire-bellied toad)
Lineage: Eukaryota; Metazoa; Chordata; Amphibia; Anura; Bombinatoridae
Product: small nucleolar RNA U13
Exons: 1
Source: RefSeq, a predicted model, not a curated record
AUCCUUUUUGUUCUUGCAUAGGAUGAGUGGGUUGUCAUGCAGUUGCAUGAAAUGUGUCUUCCCUUAUGUUGUGAUCUGAUGCAAUACCUUUCUGAUU